GUGGAAAUAGCUCCAUCGACAUUGACCGUACCCUAAACCGACACAGGUGGACUGGUAGAGUAUACCAAGGCGCUUGAGAGAACUAUACUGAAGGAACUCGGCAAAUUGCAUGCGUAACUUCGGGAUAAGCAUGACUUCUAUCGGGGCAACCCUUUAGGAGUGGCACAAAAGAGGGGGUGGCGACUGUUUACUAAAAACACAGGGCUCUGCGAAGAUGCAAAUCGACGUAUAGGGUCUGACGCCUGCCCGGUGCCGGAAGGUUAAAAGGAGAGGUGCAAGCUUUGAAUUGAAGCCCCGGUAAACGGCGGCCGUAACAAUAACGGUCCUAAGGUAGCGAAAUUCCUUGUCGGGUAAGUUCCGACCUGCACGAAUGGCGUAACGACUUCCCCACUUUCUCCAGUAUAGACUCAGCGAAAUUGAAUUCCCCGUGAAGAUGCGGGGUUCCUGCGGUCAGACGGAAAGACCCCAUGCACCUUUACUAUAGCUUUACGCUGGCAUUUGUGUCGGCAUGUGCAGGAUAGGUGGUAGGCUUUGAAGCAAGGACGCUAGUUCGUGUGGAGCCAAAAGAUGAGAUACCACCCUUAUCGUCAUAGAUGUCUAACCGCGGCAUAACAGUGUCCGGGACAGCGUAUGGUGGGUAGUUUGACUGGGGCGGUCGCCUCCCAAAGAGUAACGGAGGCGCGCGAUGGUGGGCUCAGAACGGUCGGAAAUCGUUCGACGAGUGCAAUGGCAUAAGCCUGCCUGACUGCGAGACCGACAGGUCGAGCAGAGACGAAAGUCGGUCAUAGUGAUCCGGUGGUCCCGCGUGGAAGGGCCAUCGCUCAACGAAUAAAAGGUACGCUGGGGAUAACAGGCUGAUGAUGCCCAAGAGUCCAUAUCGACGGCAUCGUUUGGCACCUCGAUGUCGGCUCAUCACAUCCUGGGGCUGGAGCAGGUCCCAAGGGUAUGGCUGUUCGCCAUUUAAAGUGGUACGUGAGCUGGGUUUAGAACGUCGUGAGACAGUUCGGUCCCUAUCUGCCGUGGGUGUAGGAAUAUUGAGAAGAGCUGACCCUAGUACGAGAGGACCGGGUUGGACGAAUCUCUGGUGGACCUGUUGUGGCGCCAGCCGCAUUGCAGGGUAGCUAAAUUCGGACGGGAUAACUGCUGAAAGCAUCUAAGCAGGAAGCCUCCUUCAAAACUAGUAUUCCCUUGAGAGCCGUGGAAGACCACCACGUCGAUAGGCCGGGUGUGGAAGCGCAGCAAUGUGUGAAGCUUACCGGUACUAAUAGCUCGAU
RNAcentral lists this ribosomal RNA (1274 nucleotides) under metagenome. RNAcentral's name for it is "bacterial LSU rRNA". It matches the Rfam family "Bacterial large subunit ribosomal RNA", at positions 1617 to 2913 of the family's 2925-position model. The record is from RNAcentral.